AGACCCGAAACCCGGUGAUCUAGCCAUGGGCAGGUUGAAGGUUGGGUAACACUAACUGGAGGACCGAACCGACUAAUGUUGAAAAAUUAGCGGAUGACCUGUGGCUGGGGGUGAAAGGCCAAUCAAACCGGGAGAUAGCUGGUUCUCCCCGAAAGCUAUUUAGGUAGCGCCUCGUGAAUUCAUCUCCGGGGGUAGAGCACUGUUUCGGCUAGGGGGCCAUCCCGGCUUACCAACCCGAUGCAAACUGCGAAUACCGGAGAAUGUUAUCACGGGAGACACACGGCGGGUGCUAACGUCCGUCGUGAAGAGGGAAACAACCCAGACCGCCAGCUAAGGUCCCAAAGUCAUGGUUAAGUGGGAAACGAUGUGGGAAGGCCCAGACAGCCAGGAUGUUGGCUUAGAAGCAGCCAUCAUUUAAAGAAAGCGUAAUAGCUCACUGGUCGAGUCGGCCUGCGCGGAAGAUGUAACGGGGCUAAACCAUGCACCGAAGCUGCGGCAGCGAACGUAUCACCCAAGACAACUUUACGGAGUUGACGAUUGACGGAGCGAAGCGACGUCAAAGCGUUCAUUAAAGUCGAGUUGGCUUAGGGAUACGUUCGUUGGGUAGGGGAGCGUUCUGUAAGCCUGUGAAGGUGUGUCGUGAGGCAUGCUGGAGGUAUCAGAAGUGCGAAUGCUGACAUAAGUAACGAUAAAGCGGGUGAAAAGCCCGCUCGCCGGAAGACCAAGGGUUCCUGUCCAACGUUAAUCGGGGCAGGGUGAGUCGACCCCUAAGGCGAGGCCGAAAGGCGUAGUCGAUGGGAAACGGGUUAAUAUUCCCGUACUUGGUGUUACUGCGAAGGGGGGACGGAGAAGGCUAUGUUGGCCGGGCGACGGUUGUCCCGGUUUAAGCGUGUAGGUGUGUGUUCCAGGUAAAUCCGGUUCACUUUAACACUGAGGCGUGACGACGAGGCACUACGGUGCUGAAGCAACAAAUGCCCUGCUUCCAGGAAAAGCCUCUAAGCAUCAGGUAACACGAAAUCGUACCCCAAACCGACACAGGUGGUCAGGUAGAGAAUACCAAGGCGCUUGAGAGAACUCGGGUGAAGGAACUAGGCAAAAUGGUGCCGU
Molecule: ribosomal RNA, 1107 nt
Filed under: Salmonella enterica
Lineage: Bacteria; Pseudomonadati; Pseudomonadota; Gammaproteobacteria; Enterobacterales; Enterobacteriaceae
Also listed under: 1 other name
Description: partial 23S ribosomal RNA
Rfam family: Bacterial large subunit ribosomal RNA
Source: RNAcentral